Amaranthus tricolor (Joseph's coat) is the source of this 116-nucleotide small nucleolar RNA. RefSeq annotates it as small nucleolar RNA snoR126. The record is from RefSeq and is a predicted model, not a curated record. Lineage: Eukaryota; Viridiplantae; Streptophyta; Magnoliopsida; Caryophyllales; Amaranthaceae. The transcript has a single exon.
AGGCAGUGAUGACAAAAACAUUUCUCGAUCCUGAUAUAAAUCUUUCGAGAUCUUUUGCAAGUAUUCAUUUACUUGUAUGCUUUCGUGAUGACUGUAUUUGUGCGUGUCUGAGCCUU